CCUACGGGUGGCAGCAGUGAGGGAUAUUGGACAAUGGGGGAAACCCUGAUCCAGCAACGCCGCGUGAGGGAAGACGGUUUUCGGAUUGUAAACUUCUGUCCUCAGUGAAGAUAAUGACGGUCACAGAGGAGGAAGCUCCUGCUAACUACGUGCCAGCAGCCGCGGUAAUGCGUAGGGAGCAAGCGUUGUCCGGAUUUACUGGGUGUAAAGGGUGCGUAGGCGGCGUUGCAAGUCAGAAGUGAAAUCCAUGGGCUUAACCUGUUGACUGCUUUUGAAACUGUAUGGCUUGAGUGAAGUAGAGGAAGGCGGAAUUCCCGGUGUAGCGGUGAAAUGCGUAGAGAUCGGGAGGAACACCAGUGGCGAAGGCGGCCAGCUGGGCUUUAACUGACGCUGAAGCACGAAAGCGUGGGUAGCAAACAGGAUUAGAUACCCUUGUAGUC
RNAcentral lists this ribosomal RNA (440 nucleotides) under uncultured bacterium. RNAcentral describes it as "partial 16S ribosomal RNA". It matches the Rfam family "Bacterial small subunit ribosomal RNA", at positions 338 to 795 of the family's 1533-position model. The record is from RNAcentral.